GUCCCAUUGGGACAUCCGAUAAAAUUGGAAUGAUAUAAAAACGAUUAGCAUAGCUCUUGCGCAAAAUAACACGUAUCAAUCGAGAAAUGAUCUAUUGUUGU
This is a small nuclear RNA of Malus domestica (apple), 101 nucleotides long. The record is from RefSeq and is a predicted model, not a curated record. NCBI's taxonomy places the organism in Eukaryota, Viridiplantae, Streptophyta, Magnoliopsida, Rosales, Rosaceae.